RNAcentral lists this unclassified non-coding RNA (408 nucleotides) under soil metagenome. RNAcentral describes it as "partial contains 5.8S ribosomal RNA, internal transcribed spacer 2, and large subunit ribosomal RNA". The stretch from base 1 to 120 matches the Rfam family "5.8S ribosomal RNA", at positions 35 to 154 of the family's 154-position model. The record is from RNAcentral.
GAUGAAGAACGUAGCGAAAUGCGAUAAGUAAUGUGAAUUGCAGAAUUCAGUGAAUCAUCGAAUCUUUGAACGCACCUUGCGCUCCUUGGCAUUCCGAGGAGCAUGCCUGUUUGAGUGUCAUUAAAUUCUCAAGACCUGUCUGCUUUUUUGAUAGGUAUUGGAUUUUGGGGGUUGCAGGCUGUUUCAAAUAAAUAGCCUUGCUCUCCUUGAAUGUAUUAGUGGAGAAAAGCCAUUGAACUCCAUUGGUGUGAUAAAACCUAUCAAUGCCAGGAGCAAUAUUACUACUUCUCUCUGCUGUCUAACUGUGACUGUCUGUAUUAAUUAGUAUGGAUGGAGACAACUUGACCAACUUGACCUCAAAUCAGGUAGGACUACCCGCUGAACUUAAGCAUAUCAAUAAGCGGAGGA